CUUAAUUACAACAUGCCACGUCAUCUCCCAGUUGACAAUGGUACGCGUGUCCAUCAUCCGUAGUCAUUACCAGUUCAGGUUGAGACCACGAUAUCUGGAGUCUCAAUUCUUGUCUCAUCCGCAGCCAUUUGCAAUAAUCUUCACAACUCCGCCAACACGACCACAUCUUAGCAACAAAUCAUCGUCACCCAUCAUCAACAGAAAGCUACUACCGCCUUGAAUCUACACCAAAAUCAACCCGGGUGAUCUUCUAAUCUUCCCAGCAGCUUCGUUCUUUCCGCUCACUUACGCCGAGUCACACUAGCAACCGCUUCAUCCCCUCCGAUUGCAUCUGGCUACACCAACAUCGCCUCCCUCUUAAUCUCUUGCACACUACUGAAAAGAUAAAUCAAGCACAAAUCAAAUCAUAUCCGGAUAUGAAUCAACUAUCAGCGCACUCCAAUUCAGAGAUAUGAGGAAAUGAUCAAAAGUAUAAUUACCAGCCGCAUCAGAAGAUUCAAUUGUCAAAACGAAUGAAAAGGAUAAGUUCUCUCCCAUCUUUUCAUUGAUUCUGUGAUUGUUAUCUCAUCGAUUUCAGAAAAAUCUUUUACUGUUCUCAAAUACCUAAUUUCAUCGAUUGCAUCUGGAAACGUUUAUUCAAAGCUGGAUGUGAUUAUAGAUCUUUAAUAACCACAUCUCGAUCUAUCUUUUGAGAUGAAAGUGUCCAAGAAUUUUCCUUAGAAUUUCUAGGGUUUUAGUGAUAACAAAAUCGAGAAAUUUCUCAAUCUCUAGCUCUGAUUAAAAGUCGGUUAUUCGAUUCAUUAUGGGUUAUCUUUUCUUUUUCAUUGAUUUCGUUUUCUUAUGCUGAUCUCUUAAUAAGCUUAUAGUUAUUCUCGUUUAAUUGUCUGAUAUAAAAUAAAAUCUGGUUAUUCGUAUAUGAGUCGUACAAUGGAAAUGUGAUAUCUAAUUGAAAAUAUUGUUAUCAUCCUCAUGGUCAAAGCAGAUCUUAUAUAAAACGUCUAGUGAAGAUGAAGUAGUUGCUACUUAAUAAGGAUUAUACACUGAUGUUUCAAUGAAUUGAAAUCUCAAAGAGAAGCAGCAGCUGUCAUCAGCAUUCAUGAAAGAAUUGAUCUCAAAAGAGAAAGGCAUUUCAAAUGGUGAAAUCUGAUCCAUCUGUUUUGUGAAGCACUAACAGCACCCGCGCCCUUCGUCCAUAGCCGACUACCCAAAAUGUCGCUGCCUUGUUAUUUGAUUCAUCAAAAACUAAAAGUUGCCUGGAAUUGUCACUCGAGGAAUUGCACUUCUGCUCCAACUACCGGGUAUCAAUAGUCAAUCACCAUUCCCAACACAACUAGAAGAGAGUAGCAGCUGACGUAAAGCUCAUGAGCGUCAUUCAAGUGCAUCAAUGCUACGUCUUCCUCAUCCCGCCCUCACCUACAAAACCAUGGACAACACACUGAAAGGGAACUAGACUUAUCUCUCUGAGCUUAAUCGCUUUAAUAAUUUCAUGACUUGUUCCAUGACUUAUUUUGAUUUAAUCCAUGACUUGCAUCACACUUUGACAGAAACAGCGCCUCGCAAUGGCUAAAAACUUCCUGGCACCCCUGUAAAUUGAUGACACCACCAGCGCUCCUGAUUUCACCAUGACUACCAGUGCUAAUGUAUAGAGAGAGCAUAAUAGCAACACCACUUGACUACACCUGCCAUCACACAGUGUACAUCAUACUGCAGCCAUCCUGACCACUGUUGCUGCCACUGCUAUGAAGCCUGCUGCUCUUUACUUCUUCAGAACCUCUAGUUGCCUCCUUGGGAUGUUGGGACAUUGAGGAUACUUAGCUCAGAAUAGCCUCAAAAAUUCCUUAUAAUCAGCCAAACACAAGCGUCAGAAGCAAAUUUUCAUUGAAAAGCUCGACUGUUGAUCACCACCUCAUCACCAUCCGGAAUGGAUAUUGAACACGAGCUGAAGCACCUAGACUAUCUGAAGGAUAAGUAUUACAUCAUAUUUAUUUGUAUCUCCAGCCCAUCCUGUUAAUUAAGUUAUCUGUGACUGAGAACACAUGAAAUCUCUUCGAUAUGUAUGUGUGAAAAUCAUAAUCUUUGGGAGUAUCAUGGUGCAAAAUCUUGAGGCAGAUAAUUCUACCUUCUCGGUCAAGGCGCUUCUCUAGACGGAUCAGUUCCAACGCGUCUGUUGCGUGCUAUCGCUUUGAAGCUACAAUCCUCAAAGAUGCAAGAAGUGGAAUGAAAAGCCGUUGCAUCGCUCGACUGCACCAAGUGCUAUCCCUCCACUGUUGUCUGGCUCCAAGAGAAGAAAGCGCUGCACCAUCUCUUCCAGAAGCGGCUACUACAACUCAUCUCUUGUUCUCGUAAUCUUCUCGUCAAAUACCAUAGAAACGGUACCCCCUUUAUCUCUCUGUCAAAAUAUAGCUUCAAUCUGGCAUAACUUAGGUUGUAUUAGCUUUGCUCAAUAAAUAGCAGCGGGAAUCCUUGGAAUUCAAAUUCCAGGAUUUUUGAUUCUCUCCUAGUACAGAGCUUUUGAAUCAGCUGAUAUCUUGAUCUACCACUCGCCAUUAGUGAUUUAAUUUAUCGCAUGAUUACUGCCCUCUUUAUCUUUAA
This is a long non-coding RNA of Papaver somniferum (opium poppy), 2592 nucleotides long. RefSeq lists it as uncharacterized. The transcript has 2 exons. Lineage: Eukaryota; Viridiplantae; Streptophyta; Magnoliopsida; Ranunculales; Papaveraceae. The record is from RefSeq and is a predicted model, not a curated record.